GAUGAAGAACGCAGCGAAAUGCGAUAAGUAGUGUGAAUUGCAGAAUUCAGUGAAUCAUCGAAUCUUUGAACGCACAUUGCGCCCUUUGGUAUUCCAAAGGGCAUGCCUGUUCGAGCGUCAUUUGUACCCUCAAGCUUUGCUUGGUGUUGGGCGUCUUGUCUCCAGUUCGCUGGAGACUCGCCUUAGAGUAAUUGGCAGCCGGCCUACUGGUUUCGGAGCGCAGCACAAGUCGCGCUCUCUUCCAGCCAAGGUCAGCAUCCACAAAGCCUUUUUUCAACUUUUGACCUCGGAUCAGGUAGGGAUACCCGCUGAACUUAAGCAUAUCAAUAAGCGGAGGA
RNAcentral lists this unclassified non-coding RNA (338 nucleotides) under soil metagenome. RNAcentral describes it as "partial contains 5.8S ribosomal RNA, internal transcribed spacer 2, and large subunit ribosomal RNA". The stretch from base 1 to 120 matches the Rfam family "5.8S ribosomal RNA", at positions 35 to 154 of the family's 154-position model. The record is from RNAcentral.